CCCUACGGGGCGCAGCAGUGGGGAAUAUUGGACAAUGGGCGCAAGCCUGAUCCAGCCAUACCGCGUGUGUGAAGAAGGCCUUUUGGUUGUAAAGCACUUUAAGCGAGGAGGAGGCUCUCGAGGUUAAUACCCUUGAUGAGUGGACGUUACUCGCAGAAUAAGCACCGGCUAACUCUGUGCCAGCAGCCGCGGUAAUACAGAGGGUGCGAGCGUUAAUCGGAAUUACUGGGCGUAAAGCGCGCGUAGGCGGCUUGUUAAGUCGGAUGUGAAAUCCCCGGGCUCAACCUGGGCACUGCAUUCGAUACUGGCAAGCUAGAGUAUGGGAGAGGAAGGUAGAAUUCCAGGUGUAGCGGUGAAAUGCGUAGAGAUCUGGAGGAAUACCGAUGGCGAAGGCAGCCUUCUGGCCUAAUACUGACGCUGAGGUGCGAAAGCAUGGGGAGCAAACAGGAUUAGAUACCCCGGUAGUCCU
RNAcentral lists this ribosomal RNA (469 nucleotides) under uncultured bacterium. RNAcentral's name for it is "bacterial SSU rRNA". It matches the Rfam family "Bacterial small subunit ribosomal RNA", at positions 337 to 797 of the family's 1533-position model. The record is from RNAcentral.